GUGACAGAGCUGGGCAGGGCCUGUCUGGAAAGCUUCUCUGUUCCAGCUUGGGAAAGGGCGGGAUUGCAGUGGUCUGCUGCUCCACCCUUUCCUGUCCUUCCGGUCCAGAACACUGGUGCCGAGGAGGUUCCUGUGACAGAGCAGGAGGGCCUGUUAAGGCUGCAGGGCACUGACAUUACCGACUGCAAGGACACACCCUGCCCGCUGCAGCCUCGGCCUCCAGUGUACCCUGCGUGGGCUACCAUUGGUGCCUCCACUCUGCAGCUGAGGGAGCUGGGAACUGGACAGAGGUCCCUUUGUCACAUCACACAACUCACAGCAGCAGGACAAAGACUUAGUGAUAAGAUUUAAUAAGCUUCAGACAGCCUGGUGCCGACACCCCACUCUUAACCACCGAGCCACGCUGCCUGCCUGGACAGUGGUGUUUCAAGGGAGCCGCGACUUGUCCGGACUGCCUGCAUUUGUCUUAGCAUGAACAGCUGUAAAGGCCUCCACGAUACAGGGUCCUAAAACCCAGCAAGGCUCUGGGAGCUCGACGGAGGAACGAGAGUCACCCAGGAAGGAACACACCAGGCUAGAUGCAAUCAGACCACUGCCCCAACCUGACAUCGCAGGAAGACGUAAUGUGCCUGUUGGAGCCCUUUGGGGACGGCUCUGGUGACCAUCUGGAGAAGCGGAUCUUUCACUUGGGCCCGAUCGGCCCGCAAACUUACCUGCAGGUGGCUGCAGCGAUUGUGGCCUGGGACAAGGUCUGCAGCACCAUGGUGACAGGCAUCUAGCUCUACCCCAGAUGUCCUCUUCGAUGGGAAGAGCAGGCAGGACAGCAUGGCAAUGCAGCCACAUGAUUUGUUACCUCGUGGGCUCCAGGUGAAGUCCGCAGGGGAAAGGAGAGCACCACGUGGGAUCCAGGAGCUCUGAAGUGCACGGCUUCUAAUAACUCACAUGUGUCCCCCACAGCACAGAAACAUUUCCCAGACCUCUGCUGGUCUCCCAAGGUGGACCCACUUAGACCACCACCCUCCUGUCAUUCCCAGAGCCGGCGUGAUGAUUAAUUCUGUCUGUGGACCUGGCUGGGCCGUGGUGCCCAGGUGUUUGGUGAUGCCUUCUCCCGGAUGCUCCUGAGAAGGUGGUUUUUGGAUUGAAAUUGGUGGCUUAACCCUAAAAGCAGAACCUCUACAGCAGGAGCGGGACCCAGCCAGGCCGUCGAGUCCAUCCCCGCUCCGUCCCAUCCUGCCGGUUCUUGUCCUCUGGAGAGCCUUGAUGGAUUCAGGUUUGCAUGGCCAGCCUUGUCAGACAGCAAGAGACCUGGCGGUGCAGUGCAGGGGCAGAUGAGGGAGGAUCUGAUGCUGCACUUCUGGGCUGGGAACCGGAGCAGAGGACCCAAUGGGCUGAGGCAGACGGCGCCUUCUGUGGUCACAUUAGCUGCCUCCAGCUGCCUGCUCCUCUGACCUGGCAGACACCUCCGGCGCCUGGGCUGCAUCCUGCUGCCUCUGCCUGAGAUGGGAGAGGAUGGGUAUGGGGAAGCCAGGCCCCGAAGCAGCGAGGAAAUGACCCUUAUGUCCUUGGUCCUCAGUUCUCAGUGCCCUUGAUGAGAAGAUCCAAUCAAGACACAGAGGUGGCCAUGUGGAAGUCUAGGCAGAAGGUGUUGUGGAGGGAUGGAGAAAGUUGCACCUUCAAGCGAGGAGGUGGGCAGGGCCUUGAAGGUGUCUGCCCUGAGUGCUUGAUGCCUUUUGAGAGCUAUUCUUGGGGUCAGGGGAGUUGGGAGAGUUGUGGUUCUUAUCACCAUCUUACUAGGAAGUUACUUAGGAACUGCAGAAUGCCUUUCUGUCCCUUUUAGAUGGUCAGUGUUUCCUCGAGGGCCUUCAUCAUGUAAGAAACACACAAAAGAUAAGUUCUUCAUUUAAACCAGGCCCCAGUCCAGGCCAGAGGGUCUUUACAGAACAUUUCCUCUCCUGACAUCAAGACCUGCAUGAUGGGUGACUUCCAGAUGUCCUGCUCUGUGGGGUCGCUCUAGGCCUGAGAACCAACAAGUGAUCACAAAUGUGUCAUACACUGGCAUCUUUGUUUCUGUACCUAACUGGCCCUGUCCUUUCCCCUGUGGGGAGCCCAGUCCUCUGCCCUGCAGAGGUCUUUGUGCCCCUUGGGACACAGUUCUGAAGAGAAGGGAUUUCGGUGCCACUGUCAGAGCCCAGGUCUGGCCACACAGUGUGAUGAUUUAGCCCACGGCAGCAGGUGCCACCACUCCCUGCAGUCAGCUUUUGGUGCUCUCGGCCACUUUGCCUUCUGGUUAGAAGGAUGUAACUGAGAGGUUAACGCAGACCUUUAAACGUUUGGAUUUUUUAUUUUUAAAGAUAAGCUUGUUCUCCAUCCUCCUUAUGCUGAGGGCAGACACUGCCUCCCCAGCCCUGGCACCUAGGCACAUUCCACACAACCCGACUUGCAGUAUUUUUCCUGGGCCCGGCCUGGGCCAAAGCCAGUCUGAAUCUGCACCUGCGUGUUUCCCAGGCUUUCUUAUACCCCUUCUGUGAGUUGGAAUUCUCCUACCUGCUCCAGGUGGGGCACACGAGCUGCCUUCUACUUUGGCCAAGCUGGGAGGAAACUCACUUUUCUGAUUCGAUGGGCUUUUCUCCUAUUCUUGAUGGCAGGUGAGCAAAGGAACCCAGAGAGUCAGGGCCCAGGUUCAGGCCUCGCGUGGGCGCGAACAAUCUUCGGCUUCCAACUUUCACUCCCUCAUUUUGCCUUUUUGAAAAAGAUCUUUGUGUCUUGUACUGAUCACUUAAAGUCAUGCAGAGAGUGUAAUUAGUCCUUAUUCCUGGAUUCUUUUCCCUCUGCACUAUGGAUGGCCCCUUCCUCCUCUGGUCAGCACUGCUGCUAUGUAUGGGCUCAGGCUGCAGAGCAAAUGGCCAAGCCAUUGCCCUAGACCCAGAGAAUGUGGCAAAACUAGGCUUCAGGAAUGGGUGUUGGAGUGUAGGGAGACUAGGGAUUCACUUUUGGACAACUUUGAGAUGCCAGUUGGACACCCAAAUGCGAAAGUAGGGUGAGCAGUUUGAUGUAGGAACCUGGAGUUCAGGGGCGAGAGAAAGCCAGGCUGAAGAUACCAUCAUGAAAGUCAGCAGGACGAGGGCUCCAAAGAUGCGUGAGAUUUAAGGACCUGAGACCUGAGGGUUCGGUUCUGGGGCACCAUGGUGUCCAGAAGGAGGGAAGAUGAAGAAGAGCCAGAAAAAAGAGUGAGCAGGGAGACAGGAGAGCAAGAAAGAGUGGAGUUUUAGCAGCAGAGUGGAAAGAGUUUCGAGAACACAUGAGCCAUCAGCUAUGACAAAUGCUGCCGCCAAAGUCUAGACGGGUGAAGGACAACUGACUGAUGGACCUGGCCAUGGAAGGUCUCCGGUGACCUUGACAAGGGCGAUUCUGGUGGGAGAGAGACGGAUGGAGGGGGUUGUGUAAGGAGUGGGCGCGGUGUGGUGCUCACAGCGCGUCUGGAGACGUCUUCCCAGCUCUUCAGGACGGAGAGAAGCGGGAGGGGAGGAGACCACAGCCGGUGAAGGUGAGCGGUCGCCUGAUGCUGGCGAUGCUGAGCGGGGCAGCCCGUCCCACAGGCAGGAGCAGCGCAGUUCAUGUAACCAAUCCCGUGGUGGAGGACGCCCCACACCUCGAUGCACACGUUGAUGAGCGACGUUUCAAGGAGCAUGGUUAGGCGCGAACCCAACUUGGAAAGUAAUUGCUUCUGUCCCAGUGAAUGGUGACAGGCCUGUCCUGCUUGGUAUCGGGUGACUUUGAUGGGUGAGCAGAUGUCGUCUGAACCCUUGGGGGAUGGAAAUUCCUACAAAGGUGAGUGAGUGUGUGUGUGUGUGUGUGUGUGUGUGUGUGUGUGUGUGUGUGUGAGUGUGCGCUCUGGACAGAAGAGGUGUUAGCUACCACACCAAUCAUGGUUCACACCUCUGCUCAUUUCUUAGGGUAAUUUCAAGUAAUAGGAAUAUUUAUAAGGCUCUCACCAAU
Molecule: long non-coding RNA, 3996 nt
Organism: Fukomys damarensis (Damara mole-rat)
Lineage: Eukaryota; Metazoa; Chordata; Mammalia; Rodentia; Bathyergidae
Exons: 4
Source: RefSeq, a predicted model, not a curated record